Molecule: ribosomal RNA, 506 nt
Filed under: uncultured bacterium
Lineage: Bacteria
Description: partial 16S ribosomal RNA
Rfam family: Bacterial small subunit ribosomal RNA
Source: RNAcentral
AGUGAACGCUGGCGGCAGGCCUAACACAUGCAAGUCGAACGGCAGCACAGGAGAGCUUGCUCUCUGGGUGGCGAGUGGCGGACGGGUGAGGAAUAUAUCGGAAUCUACCCUUUCGUGGGGGAUAACGUAGGGAAACUUACGCUAAUACCGCAUACGAACUGAGGUUGAAAGCGGCGGACCGCAAGGCGUCGCGCGGAUGGAUGAGCCGAUAUCCGAUUGGCUAGUUGGCGGGGUAAAAGCACACCAAGGCGACGAUCGGUAGCUGGUCUGAGAGGAUGAUGCGCCACACUGGAACAGAGACACAGUCCAGACUCCGAGGGGAGGCAGCAGUGGGGAAUAUUGGACAAUGGGCGCAAGGCUGAUCCAGCCAUGCCGGGUGUGUGAAGAAGGCCUUCGGGUUGUAAAGCACUUAUGUUGGGAAAGAAAAGCGGUCGGUUAAUACCCGGUCGUUCUGACGGUACCCAAAGAAUAAGCACCGGCUAACUUCGUGCCAGCCGCCGCAGUAA